UACGGAAGGCAGCAGUGGGGAAUAUUGCACAAUGGGCGAAAGCCUGAUGCAGCUAUGCCGCGUGUAUGAAGAAGGCCUUAGGGUUGUAAAGUACUUUCAUCGGGGAGGAAAAAACAAAACUAAUAAUUUUAUUUCUUGACGUUACCCGAAAAAGAAGCACCGGCUAACUCCGUGCCAGCAGCCGCGGUAAUACGGAGGGUGCUAGCGUUAAUCAGAAUUACUGGGCGUAAAGAGCACGUAGGUGGUUUUUUUAAAGUCAGAUGUGAAAUCCCUGGGCUUAACCUAGGAACUGCAUUUUGAAACUGGCAGGCUUGAGUCUUGUAGAGGGGGUUAGAAUUCCAGGUGUAGCGGUGAAAUGCGUAGAGAUCUGGAGGAAUACCGGUGGCGAAGGCGGCCCCUGGACAAAGACUGACGCUCAGGGUGCGAAAGCGUGGGGAGCAAACAGGGAUUAGAUACCCGU
RNAcentral lists this ribosomal RNA (460 nucleotides) under uncultured bacterium. RNAcentral describes it as "bacterial SSU rRNA". It matches the Rfam family "Bacterial small subunit ribosomal RNA", at positions 340 to 789 of the family's 1533-position model. The record is from RNAcentral.